AAUCAUUCAUCGAAUCCAUCCAGGGCAUAAUGACAAUUCCUGCAGCAUUCCCUACAGUUAUGUAUUUAUUUACCCUGCUUCAUAGUCCCACUACCUGGUCUCUAUGUCUUCAAGCAAAUGACGAUCCGCAAAACACAGAUUUAAUGUCAAUGGUCUUGCGCGAGUAUGAUGAAACCAGCGAGUCAUGGAUUACAAGAGAUUCGGUACCAGUCAAAACAUGCACCCAAUUAGAAAUAAAAGAUAUUGACGGGGCUGUCUUCAUUUUUCUGUUGACAAAAGAUUUCAAUGAGGAGCCACAAAUGAACAUGUAUUCAAUUAUUGACUCGAGAUUUUUUUUGAGCCAGACCUCCAGCGUGGGAAAAAUUCAUUUUCUUACAGUUUGGUGCUGGAAAUCACACAACUUUGUUCAAGUUCAACGAGGAAUUGCAAUCUUUCGAGGUUCAUCAAUUGCUGUCAAUGUCGAACUGUUCGAAUAUAGAAUUUUGAAUGCAUGUCAUCAGAAUUUUCAAAACCAGAGCAGUUCUUAGUGAUCACUGGCCUCCAUGGUGAUCAGGAGAAUAGCCCCAUUUCAAGAAUUUACAAACUUCACAACGAGUACUUUUAUCCUUUCCAAACGAUUAUCUUGGAUUACGUCCAACAAUGGAUGAUGUAUGGAUCUGCCGGCGAGUCAAUUUUACAUGCAGCAACGAGAUACUCUGGGAUUCACCUUUUUGAGUAUGACGGGCGUAAAUUUUCAAAAACGGACCGUUUUUUGGAGACGGCUGUUAUCAGUCAUAUCUCUAAAUGUACGAUGAAUGGGACAGAAGCUUUAGUCUUGGCAGAUAGAAGCAACGAUGGAACGCAUCCCAACGUAUUUCAAAUACGACUUAUCAGCGCUGAUAUUCUGAAAAGCAUAGCCGAAACGUACGAUGAAUGGCACUCAGAGAUGACGCGUGACCUUAAGACUAUUGCUGAACAGUUAAAGCACUUGGAGGAAUCACUGAAAUCAGCCCCACGAGUCGACUCCUCAGAAAUUGUGAUUGAUGGAACAUUGGAGUUUUCAGCCCUUCACGGAGAUCAAUUAGUUUUGAUUCAGCCUGAGGGAGAGUCAUUGAAUGAUACGCGAGAGAAGGAGUUUGCUGAGGAGCUUGAAAGUGAGCUGACUGAACUUAAAAUUAUAGAAACAUUUGUAAACAAACUGGUGAAUGGCGGAGGAAAGUUUAUUGUUGACGGCGACUUGUUUUUGGACCAAUUUGAGCUAAACUGCAUCGAGGAAUGCGACUUGAACAUUUUAUCGAUCACAAAUUUAAAUGGCGAGGAUUUCGAUACCCUUAUUGAUAACACCGUUAACAUAGACAGCCCAGGCAGUUAUAACGCUCUCAACUUUGAGAACAUAGCAGUCUCCCUCAAUCUUAACACGGUGUCCAUCAACGGACAUACGGCCACAAGUCUUGUCCAUCAUGGAAGAGAUAAUUUGUUCAGAAAUGGUUUGCGGUUGGAUUCGAUUGCUAUCUCCGACAAACUGAGUGUUCAGAGAAUGAUCAAUGGAAUUAAGAUGGACUCACAUUCAGUUUUAUUGGUUUCUGGUGAUCAGACCCUUAAUGGUUCUCUAAUUUUCAAAGAAGGAACUGUAGAAACCUUAUACUGCGUUAAGAACUUAUGGAACAAUUCAAAUAUCAGUGAUUGUUGUGGUAGAAACUAAGUAUAAGCCUAUGGACACAAAGCUCCACACACUAUUCCGUCAACAAUUUUUCUAGCAUCUAAAAACUACCAUCUGCUAGUUGUAACAGAAUUAUUUUACUCUGAAAAUUAAUUUCGAAAUGUUCGGAGAUCGUGGUCUCAAUGGCAGAAAAUAUAAGUUAGGAAGUGAAAAUUGAGACCUUGAUCUCAGUUAAAAAUUAAUUUGCUGUAUCUAUGAAAAUAUGUAGUCUAGUUAUUUAUUGUUUUAGUUGUUAAUAAUGUACCUCAACUUAUCUAGUCAAAAAUUUGUCUUUUCUUAGAUUGAUUUUGAAAAUUAGUGAAAGUCAUAGUAUCUGAACAUUGGAGUAAUCGUUGUUGUGGGCUGCUAUAAUGAUUAUUUUGUUAAAUAUGUUUACUGGAUUUUUUUUUUCAUUUAAAUAUUUAUUUCUAAAUCCUCCAAAACUGCACAUCGAUAAGAGUCAAUAUUCCUAUCAGAUCACAUAGAAGAUUAAGCUGAGGAGAGGACAAGAAAUAUUGUAGGCUUUUCGAGGAAAAGAAACUGUAUUUCCAAAAAUAAAAAAGGAAGAAAAAUCGCUGUUAAAGAAGAUAACUUUCUUUUUGUAAAUUUAGUAAUCAGUUACACACGACACGUUUUAAACAUCAGUCCAAUUAAGCAAGUUUAAUCUUAAGGAGGAUUAUUUUUUUAAAAGAGUCAGUAGCAAUUCAUACACAUUGUCCUUGAAUCAAAUUUUUGAAAUCCCAUCCACGUAUACAACGCUUUUUUUAUUAUUGAGAACUUACAGAUUGGAAUAGGUGUCUCCACCCUAAAUAAAAAGAGCCAUACAAAUUAAAACUAUACUUACUGGCACCAGGGGAGAAUUGGGCACUAUAAAUGCAUUAACAUCAAGAUAUCCACUUCUAAAAUGAGUUUUGAUCAAAAUCGGAUGAAAAAUUAUUCCAAGAAUCAAACUUACUCUGUAGAUACUAUUUAUUUAUUAUAUAUUACAAAUCCAUAUUCGCCGGUCAUAAAUACCCCUUUUUACAAAGAAAAAUGAAAACGCCUUAUUUUUUCCUGUAAAUAUUUCGAAUUUAUGCGUUCCACUAAACUCAAAAUCUAACCACACGCUGGAAAUCUAUUGAUGGACUUUUCCCCGCGAUUAAAUAUUCAAUUAUUCUCUUUUAUUCAGUUUUUCCUCUAAUCAUAAAUACAUUCUUAUUUUUUACCAACACCUUCCAAAUAUGUUUCUUUUUUUUUGUAGCAAACUUUUUAACCUAAGUACAGAGGUGAUAGUAGCCCUAGUUGCUAUGGCACCGCUCUAAAAUAAACGAAUAUUAGUACCACUACAUUAACGUAUCUCAUAAAACUAUAAAUUUCAACCGAUCGGGUUUAUGGUGGGUGAGAGUCUCGCGGAAGUUCCAGAGCUGAGGGCCGAUGAUUAAAAUUGAUAGACAAAGCUAUAGACAAAGAAGACAAAAGAGAUAAGUAGGGAUCGCCUAUUGGUGGA
Molecule: long non-coding RNA, 3164 nt
Filed under: Bemisia tabaci
Lineage: Eukaryota; Metazoa; Arthropoda; Insecta; Hemiptera; Aleyrodidae
Description: lncRNA ENSASIAIIG000245
Source: RNAcentral